UAGUCAGUUGGUUAUUAUAUCUCCACUAAUAAGCAGAGAGGAGUAAAUCUUCAAAGUAAGUUAUGUGGGUCAAGGUAUAGUGAUUAAUUGGAGUUCUAGUUCAUUUACUUUGAGAAAAUUAGAGUGUUUUAAAAGCAGCCUCUUGGGGCACUGAAUACAUUAGCAUGGGAUAAUAAAUAGGAUCUUCACAAUAUUAUUUUAUUGGUUUAAAUUGCGUAUGAAGAUAAUGAUUAAUAGGGACAGUUGGGGGUAUUCAUAUUGGGUGGUUAGCGGUGAAAUGCUCGGAUCCAUUCAAGAUGAACUAAAGCGAAAGCAUUUACCAAGGAUGUUUUCAUUAAUCAAGAACGAAAGUUAAGGGAUCGAAGACGAUUAGAUACCGUCGUAGUCUUAACUAUAAACUAUGCCGACCAGGGAUAUGAGUUGUUAGGAAUAUACGAAAGUAUAUUCAAUUUCUUCUUAUGAACCUUGUGAGAAAUCAUAAGUUUUUGGGUUCUGGGGGG
This 500-nucleotide ribosomal RNA is filed under the name uncultured eukaryote. Its description in RNAcentral is "bacterial SSU rRNA". It matches the Rfam family "Eukaryotic small subunit ribosomal RNA", at positions 648 to 1121 of the family's 1831-position model. The record is from RNAcentral.